Manis javanica (Malayan pangolin) is the source of this 332-nucleotide non-coding RNA. Lineage: Eukaryota; Metazoa; Chordata; Mammalia; Pholidota; Manidae. The record is from RefSeq and is a predicted model, not a curated record.
UUUUGUCAUUUGUUAUACCAGGAGACAUUCAGCUUCUCCGUGAAACUUGGAAAGAAUGAAAAGUAAGGCAAAAUUGUGCUUCAGCAGAGAAAUGAAUGAAUUGCAGUUGCACAGAGCAACAUGGAUGGAUCCCGGAAGUAUCAUGUGGAAUGAAAGCAGUAAAUCCCACAAGAUUACCUGGAGUGUGAAUCUUUUACUCACUAAUUUAACGAGAAAAAAUAGUCUAACAGAACACGGAGGAUCUAUUUGAGCAUGUGUAUUUCUGCAGAGAAGAAAGAAGCAUAUUUUGUGAAGAUGGAAUCUGUGUUUACAUGUAGAUUUUUAUAAACCCA